GGACUCAGUGUUUAGUUCCCAGGGUCUAGUCUGUGGUUAAAAGUUGGAUAUUAGUAGGCCGGGCGCGGUGGCUCACGCCUGUAAUCCCAGCACUUUGGGAGGCCGAGGCGGGCGGGUCACGAGGUCAGGAGAUUGAGACCAUCCUGGCUAACACGGUGAAACCCCGUCUCUACUAAAAAUACAAAAAAAUUAGCCGGGUGUGGUGGCGGGCGCCUGUAGUCCCAGCUACUCGGGAGGCUGAGGCAGGAGAAUGGCAUGAACCCGG
This 265-nucleotide long non-coding RNA is filed under the name Homo sapiens (human). RNAcentral describes it as "HSALNT0380513". The record is from RNAcentral. Lineage: Eukaryota; Metazoa; Chordata; Mammalia; Primates; Hominidae.